Molecule: long non-coding RNA, 2173 nt
Organism: Apis cerana (Asiatic honeybee)
Lineage: Eukaryota; Metazoa; Arthropoda; Insecta; Hymenoptera; Apidae
Source: RefSeq, a predicted model, not a curated record
AAACAUCAUGUAUAUGUUCAUUUAGCGAUCAAUUCUGAAUUUCAGUAAUUCUGAAUUUUGGUAAAUUUAGUCGACAUUUAGUUGAAGUGACCGAAAGUGCUAAGUUACCGAACGUUUCAGUACCCAAGCGUUUCCAGUUUGCCGUGUCGAAAAGUAGUAAGAAGAGAACGAAAGAAAAUGAAAGAGUAACGAAGAUGCGAGAAAAUGGCAAAGUGGGGUGAGUAAGCACAGUACGGAGCUGAUAGUUGAUCGUACGCAUGCGCAGAAAAUAUAGACCCGCGUUCCGACAGUCAGAGCGCGGUCACGGAGGUGUAUGCGCGAUUCUAUGUGUGUCAUGAUUAUUGCCCAUUAAAUUAUCUUGCACACGUUGUGCGCGUUCUACUCUCACUCCCUGACACGAAGCUGCAUCAGUGCACGUAUAUCGUAUCAUUGUGUACAAAUAUACGUAAUGCACGUAUAUCUAUAUAUGUAUGUAUCAUGUACACGUACGCAUUUGUUCCCAGCCAGACUGGCUCUCUAUCUCUAUAUCCCUCUCUUGCCCGACACAGCUUCGAAGCACGUCAAUAACCCGUUGCCGCCUCGCAUGCUGCAUACGUUGCAGUGCGUUUAUAGCGCGAGCGCACAUAUGUUCGCAACACACUUAACCGACGCUUUUUUACGAAACGAGUUUCGGAGCUUUCACCUGUUUCUAUAGCUCGGUUCGAUUCUCGAGUCCUUUGUGCGUAUGUAGACGCACUUGAACCGGCUCAAAAUUCUAGCCUUCGACACUGUUACUUAUUUUUUAUUAUUUAUCAUUAUGUUAUCAUUUUUUUAAUAUAUAUUUUACGCAAUUUUUUCUCAAUUUCAUUUCCUCCUUCCUCACGGAACAACAUAUUAUCUCAACCGAGAUUAAUGGCGAAAUGUAAAUCAUCGUUAACGAAUUGCCAGGAAACGCGAAACGAUGAUAAUGUGCGCGCUUGGAACUAAUUGUAGGAUGCAAUUACACAUGAAAGCAUUUUUCACACGAAGGGAAAUUUAUAAUUAAAUAAUCGAAUAUUUUCUGAAGAUUAGAAAGUAUUUUCUAAACUUUUAUGUAAUAAAAUCACAUUAUGAAUAGUUCAAUGAUUAAUAAAAAAAAAAAAAAUUAAAUCGAAAUAGAUACAAGUAAAAUACUUUGGAAAAGACAUAUAUUACUUCCGAUUCUUACUAGCUUGAUAAUUUUUUGUUAUUUCAAUAUAUUUUAAUAAUAUUGUAAAUAUAAAAAUAAAUAUUCUAUAGAAUAGGACGAGAGAAUUAAAUACAUUUAAACAAACAUAUUUAAUUUUAUUCCUUUCUAGAAUAUAACUAAUGUAUCUUAAAUAUAACGAAUGAACAUAGAACACCGUUACCGUAUUAUUACCCGAUACGGUGGUCGUUUUUGUAAAUCUGAAUAGACCAGAACGUCAGACGAAAAAAAUUCUGACAAACGGAAAUUGCUAACGCAGCGAAUUAUUGAACCAUGACACUCGACACGUACGUACACUUGCGUACAAUGUACGUACGUUUGAUAUGUUACUGUGAAUACGAGUACGUGUUGGUGGUAGCGGGAAAGAGCGAGAAAAAUACAGGAACAAUGCAUAGUGGAAAACGCAUUUGAAAGUCGUUCGAGCGUGUGGACGUGCAUGUGAAAUGCACGGCAGGACGAGUACAGUGGCAUAAGUUCGUAAAAACGGUUUAUCGAGAACCAUCGUAAAUUCAGCGGUCGGUUCGGCAAACGCUGCGGGCGUCGCGUGACAAAAAUAUGAUUGGAAAGCACGGUGACGAUUCAAAAAUUCGAUACAUUGUGGAUAAGAAUGGCGGAUAAAUGAAGUUGAAUAUUAUAUAAGUUAAACAGCACAAUAUUUUGGUGUCUUUCAAUGAAGCAUCAAUCAAUAUAGGUUACGGAAUUACUUUCAGAAAAAUAAAAUUCGAUAAUUACCUGCGACAUUGUGUUGAUGAUGAUUAUAAGUAAGAGGAACAGAGUGUAAUGCCCUAGCAGACCAUUUUCUGUGUCUGGAAUCCUCGUCAUCGUCGUCAGCUUGUUGGCCAUCUUCUCCCAGGAAAUGUACUUUUUCAUAUCUGUCCAGAUACCUAAAACAAUAUAUAAUUACGUUGUGUUAAAUCAUAAUCAAAAUAUUUAGAGCAAAGUAUCUAUAAAUAUAUCCAAUAUAUAAAA